GUGUAACGUUUCAGUUUUCGUCUCUGCUCCACAUUAAUCAAACCAUUAAUCUCCAUCACCUCGCUUAUCUCCUUCCGAACGGUCUCUCACUUUGAUUUCCUUAAAGCCCUAACUAGAAAUCCGACAAUAGAUCCACUCUACAAUCCUCCUUCCAUCGAAACCCUUUCCUGUGUUUGUGCUCAAUUCCAAGAUGGGAGGCGAAUGGUAUUCUUUGAAGCUUAUUCAGAUGAUGAAGCUUACGCUACGGCUCUUCAGGAAGUUGAAGAAAGUGAAAUGGCAGAUAGUAUGUCUUCAUGAUGUAUCCCUUUCUUUUUUACCUGGGUAUUGAGUAAAUAUUAUCUACUGAUUUUGUAGAAUUGAUUUCCCUGUCAUUUUUGUGUUGAUUUUUAGGCUAUGCUCAUGGUGAUUACUUCUAACUGAUUGAGUUCUCUAUGGUUUUUCUUUUUUUUGUAUGGAAAUAAGCGAAGACAUAUAUUAGCCUGCGAUUUGAGAAACCAGCAAAAGGUGCGGCUUCUCCACUGUACUUGAUCUGCUUUCAAUAUUGUAAUAGGGUAUGUGCAGGACAAGAGAAUCUAAUUUGGCUAUUAAUCUAUCUUGCAUGUUCAGUUAAUUUAUUAACUCCAUUUUUUUUUUUUUUUUUUUUUGGAUUUUAGAAACUGUAGUCCUUUUUUGCAGUUUGAUUUUUAUUUUAUUUUCUCUGUGGAGUUUGAUUCCUAUGAUGAGUUUUUGGUAGUCAAUGGGAUAUCCAAGCUCAUUCGUUCUACAUAUGUAGUAAAACGCAUCACUUUAUUCCGUUUGAUUUCUCCAUAAUUAUAUUUUUUUUUUUGUUUUUGGUGUUUAUUAACGGUAUUUUUGUUGUUGAAUUGACUAGAUUUUAGUUGUUCUUACGAGGUUCUGACUGCAUCCAAGAAAAAAACUCAAGUUUUCAGAUAAACUAACAUGUUUCUUUGUUAGUAUUUUGCUAUGACUUAUUUUCCAUCACAUGAUCUUAGUCGUUUUUUGUUUACGGUGAGCUGAUUGAUUCAUGACUAUCCUACUUUGGUUCACAUGAUCUUAGUCGUACACAGGUCGCGCACAAUAUACAUCGUUUACAUGACAUCUAGCUUACAUCUUCAGGUUUAGUUAACAGGCUUCCCUGAAGUACUAAGUCUGUGUGUGGUUAAGGAAAAUGUUCAUUCUCUGUGUUGUUGACUACUUCCUGCUAUUCUGAGAUAUCUAAUUUUAGGAACUGUGGCUCCAAUUUAAUAUAUACAACUUUAUUUAUCUUUGGUACAGAGCAGAGGAAGAAGCUUGGUAAAGGAAAACACUUUCUCUUAACCCUUAGUUUUCUCUGUAUCAAACUUUAAAAACAUUUUAUUAUGUGAUGAAUGUCAUGAUAAAAAUCUAUAACUUUGUGUAGUGGUAUUAAUUUUUAUUCAAUUUUCUCUACAUUUUUUGCUAUUUUCAUCUGUGGAAAGGUGGAAGCUAUAAGGUUGCAAAAUGACAUUUAAUUUUUAACAUCCGACUGUGACAGAAUCGCAUGCAUAAGUGUAUUCGACAACCUUGCGGAGCUCCGAUGAGGAAUUAGCAAUGUUUUAAAAACCGGACCGGAUACCGACUCGGCGUACUCACUGGUUCACUGGUCUGACCGGUUCAACCGGUCGAGCCGGGUUUUUUAUUUAUUAUAUAUAUAUAUAAUCAUCUAAUGAAUAAUAUCUAUAAAUAGUAUCAAAAAUAGAAAUAGAACAACUGAAUCUUGAAUACAUAAUGAACUAAAUGAAUACAUGACAAAUUAAAUUUAAAAAAAUCUGUUGAAGAAUGAUAAAAUAUCUCAAACUUAUUCAGUGGUAUCAUUUCAUCUUAAUGCCUCCACCUCCGCUCUCUUUCCGACAAAAGUCACAAAUCAAAUUUCUCUUUCCAUUCUGCUCAGUGCGUUCUGUUACAUGUCUCCAAGCUAUGUCAUCUUUUUGAUGUACUGAACGUUGAACAAAAGAAUAAUACAUUAAUAUUGUUAUAUCAAAUCUUGCGGUUAAAGAGAAUCAGUGAAUCAAACGAUAUUUACUUUUUCUUACAAUUGUGCAGUCCCAAAAUCUUAUAACCAUGGAAAAUUCAGAUGAUGAGAGGAUGGUGUACGAGAGACAAAGAGAAGAUGUUUGGGGUUUUUUUGGAGAAAUUAUUAAAAAAAGGACGGCUAUUAAGUAUUAUCAAGGAUUAGGCUAAUAUAAAACCCUAAUUAAAAUUUAAAAUGUACUAGAACCGGAUUUUAGUGUCGACCCGGGUUACUGGUUUCGCCGGUUCUGAACCGAUUUUUCUGGUUUUUAUCUAAUCCGGGUUUUGAACCGAACCGAACCGGACUCGGCUUACUUAACGAGUCACGGUCGAACCGGUCCGACCGGCCGGUCCGGUCCGGUUUUCAAAACCUUGGGAAUUAGUAAUGUCAGGUGUGGAACCAAAGGUCGCUGUAGCCACCAAUAUCAACCCUAAAUUAGUUGGAGAGUUAGUCACCACAAGGUUGGUCUCGGUAUGGUGGUGUUAAGAAGAUCGAAACGUUAACACUGUCUGAGCUAAAUGCUUAUAUCAUAUCGCCCCACAGGUGACCACUUUCACGUAACCCAUAUGUUAGUGCGUUUCUUGACCAACAAUUACUUUCACUUGCGUUGGUGCCAUAUCCAAAGCGUUCCUGAGAUAAAGUGCAAACGAGGAAAGAAAGCUUUCUUAUUACAUGGUAUCUCACCAGAAUCAAUCAAUUUGUUUCUACCGUGAGUAUCUCCAAAUACAGAAUGUAAUGUCUUUUUAAAAAAAAUUCAAACACAAAAAUAGUAAUCAGAUCGAUAUAGCUUCACAUCGAAGAAAUUCAGGACAUAGAUCAAAAUGUUGUCUCAGUUCAGACGCAUGCAUUUUGUUUCUUUAAUAAGGCAUUGCAACGAGGACAGCAAGAUGAUCGUUGUGUAUGAGUAUGGAAAAGGGAACGCUUAAGGACCAUCUGAACGCUGGAGACAAAAGCUUGAGAUAUGCGCUAAAGGGCUUCACUAUCUCCAUACAGGUUCCGCAAGAGCCACUAUACACUUUGUGUGAAGCCUGCUUCAGGUAAAUGUUUAGGACCAACUCUUCUUCUGUAGAACAUGUUGAAGGAGCUUUACUCUUUACACAAUGUAAUCAUCUCUCUACAGGCCAUUGAAGCUCUCGACCCGAACCACAAACUGGGUACUGGAACCACAAGAAUCAAACUCAAUCUGAAUAGAAAGAAACUUCAUAUCAUCAAACUGUUCCGUGAGUUUAACCAAAGGAAAAAUUUACAGAGCAAAUUUGAUGUAAUAAAAGCUCAAAGAGCAACUCUGAGACAACAAGAGUGAAUACCUUUUGGAUAGAUAGAGAAAAUUUCUUUCUUUCUUUCUUUUUUUGUUGUUGCAUUUAUUUAGAAUAUUUUGUUCUUUUAAUUCUCAGCAAAAUUUUCAGUAAACAAAUAACCUACUUUCGCUAAUGCCAUCUAAUAAUAAUACAAAACAAAUUCAAUCCUUUGUAUUGCUCAACGUGUAAACUAAAGAAUUUAACCUAAUUUGAGUGUUUUGAAAAACUGAGAUACAAGUUUAUUCUGUAACAACUUCUUUGGUUGGGGUUGUGUGGGGACCAUAUUAUCUCAUUUGUCGUGCUCUUGGCUGGAGGUCGGGAUAAUGCUUCUUUCUGGGAACACACACUACUUACGUCCAAGCGUUGCUGGAGGAAAAAAAAACCCCUCAUUGUCUAUCAUAUUCAGCCGGAGGACAUAUAUCUAAAGAAUAUGGCCAGACUCAAACCCCCCAGAAGUUGCGACCUCCAAAACAUAAAUCAUCUAUGCAUGAGAAAUUUGUUGAUUACAUUGCUAAUAGAUCCAAAUAAAAUAUGUCAUUGUUUCCUUUGCUUUUUAAAGACAAACCGGAUUUUACAUUUCUUCUAUCGUGAAUAAAAAAAAUCUUUAAUUUAUUUAUUCCUUUACUUUUAAAAUAAAUUAUUAUUUUCUUCUGUACUGACUCCUAAAAUUAAAGAAAUAAAUAAAAUCUUUAAUACAUACGUAAACCAAAAAACUGCAUCUAACCCAUAAGUAAAAAAAUUUAUCAUAUUCACUCAGCAAGAAUCAGAAACGCAUUGACAUGACAUCAUAAAAUCUACUAACAUGUACUCAUAAAAUCAAUAAUUAGUUCACAACCCUCAAAUUUAAAUUGACAAGAA
Molecule: long non-coding RNA, 4185 nt
Organism: Brassica napus (rape)
Lineage: Eukaryota; Viridiplantae; Streptophyta; Magnoliopsida; Brassicales; Brassicaceae
Exons: 3
Source: RefSeq, a predicted model, not a curated record